Molecule: ribosomal RNA, 274 nt
Filed under: uncultured bacterium
Lineage: Bacteria
Description: partial 16S ribosomal RNA
Rfam family: Bacterial small subunit ribosomal RNA
Source: RNAcentral
AGACGGAGGGGGCUAGCGUUGUUCGGAAUUACUGGGCGUAAAGCGCGCGUAGGCGGCCGUUCAAGUUAGGCGUGAAAGCCCCAGGCUCAACCUGGGAACUGCGUUUAAUACUGAUAGACUAGAGACCGAGAGAGGAUGGCGGAAUUCCCAGUGUAGAGGUGAAAUUCGUAGAUAUUGGGAAGAACACCGGUUGCGAAGGCGGCCAUCUGGAUCGGCACUGACGCUGAGGUGCGAAAGCGUGGGGAGCGAACAGGAUUAGAAACCCCGGUAGUCC